CCUACGGGUGGCAGCAGUGGGGAAUAUUGCACAAUGGGGGAAACCCUGAUGCAGCAACGCCGCGUGAGUGAAGAAGUAUUUCGGUAUGUAAAGCCCUAUCAGCAGGGAAGAAGAUGACGGUACCUGUGUCAGAAGCCCCGGGUAACUACGUGCCAGCAGCCGCGGUAAAACGUCGGGAGGACGCGUUAUCCGGAUUUAUUGGGGGUAAAGGGGGCGUAGACGGUGAGGCAAGUCUGAUGUGAAAGCUCGGGGCUCAACCCCGGGACUGCUUUGGAAACUGCCUGACUGGAGUGCUGGAGAGGCAUGCGGAAUUCGUGGUGUAGCGGUGAAAUGCGUAGAUAUUAGGAAGAACACCGGUGGCGAAGGCAGCUUGCUGGAGAGUAACUGACGUUGAGGCUCGAAAGCGUGGGGAGCGAACAGGAUUAGAUACCCCGGUAGUC
This 440-nucleotide ribosomal RNA is filed under the name uncultured bacterium. Its description in RNAcentral is "partial 16S ribosomal RNA". It matches the Rfam family "Bacterial small subunit ribosomal RNA", at positions 338 to 795 of the family's 1533-position model. The record is from RNAcentral.